Molecule: ribosomal RNA, 441 nt
Filed under: uncultured bacterium
Lineage: Bacteria
Description: bacterial SSU rRNA
Rfam family: Bacterial small subunit ribosomal RNA
Source: RNAcentral
AACGCGAAGAACCUUACCAGGUCUUGACAUCCCGCUGCCCGGUGUAGAGAUACAUCUUUCCCUUCGGGGACAGCGGUGACAGGUGGUGCAUGGUUGUCGUCAGCUCGUGUCGUGAGAUGUUGGGUUAAGUCCCGCAACGAGCGCAACCCUUGAUCUUAGUUGCCAGCAUUUAGUUGGGCACUCUAAGGUGACUGCCGGUGACAAACCGGAGGAAGGUGGGGAUGACGUCAAAUCAUCAUGCCCCUUAUGACCUGGGCUACACACGUGCUACAAUGGACGGUACAGAGGGUUGCCAACCCGCGAGGGGGAGCCAAUCCCAUAAAACCGUUCCCAGUUCGGAUUGCAGGCUGCAACUCGCCUGCAUGAAGCCGGAAUCGCUAGUAAUCGUGGAUCAGCAUGCCACGGUGAAUACGUUCCCGGGCCUUGUACACACCGUAGUAC